This is a non-coding RNA of Biomphalaria pfeifferi, 755 nucleotides long. The record is from the annotation of a GenBank genome assembly. Lineage: Eukaryota; Metazoa; Mollusca; Gastropoda; Planorbidae.
GAAGAUAAACUGUAAUCUUUUUUUUUUAAAAUGUGUAAAUUAUAUCUCACUUUGAUGGAUACAUGUUUACAUACACAUAAAACAUUUCUUUAUAUAAUGUCUACCACAAAAUUGAGUCAGGUAGUGUGGCUCUCUUAAUGAUUGAUACAUAAACAUUAAACAACUAAUUUGCUCUACUUUACAUAAUCUGCUUCAUUGUGGAGAUCUAGAUCUAGCUGACCAGCCACCACGUUUCUAGAAAAUAACUUAUGGACAUGCUCUUUACUAACAAGCUUGAUUGAUUGUAUUCAGUAGAUAUAUUCAAUAAUCUAUUCACCCAUUAAAUUACUAAAACAAGGAAGCUAAGAGAAUAUCUGAGUGAAGUAUCAUCACUAAUAGCCAAAUAUAUCAAUGAUAUUAUUGAAAAAAAUAUCUACCAUAGAAUAAAUUUGAAUAAGAAUUGAAUCUAUUUCAAAAUUAUGGAUGUAGUGCCUAGUAGAUGAAGUCGAAAUUUCUAUCAUGCAACACCCAACAACCUUCAUGGAAAGGCUAUAGCAUUGGAUGUUGUAGGCCUAUAUUUAGACUUUGAAGCAGAAGCAACCUUUAACCCUUAUAUCAAAACCAAUUUAAAAAUAACAAUCCUUAGGUUUCAUAUAAUUUGACAACUAAAACAAAGUUAGCAAAAACUAAAAGAUAAAAAAACAGCCUAAAGGUAUCGAUUUGACAUUUACUUAACUGUAGGCUAGAAAGUGGUGAGGUCUCCCCCCCCCCCCCCC